GACGAACGCUGGCGGCGUGCUUAACACAUGCAAGUCGAACGGAAAGGCCCUGCUUUUGUGGGGUGCUCGAGUGGCGAACGGGUGAGUAACACGUGAGUAACCUGUCCUUGACUUUUGGAUAACUUCAGGAAACUGGGGCUAAUACCGGAUAGGAGCUCCUGCUGCAUGGUGGGGGUUGGAAAGUUUCGGCGGUUGGGGAUGGACUCGCGGCUUAUCAGCUUGUUGGUGGGGUAGUGGCUUACCAAGGCUUUGACGGGUAGCCGGCCUGAGAGGGUGACCGGCCACAUUGGGACUGAGAUACGGCCCAGACUCCUACGGGAGGCAGCAGUGGGGAAUAUUGCACAAUGGGCGGAAGCCUGAUGCAGCAACGCCGCGUGCGGGAUGACGGCCUUCGGGUUGUAAACCGCUUUCGCCUGUGACGAAGCGUGAGUGACGGUAAUGGGUAAAGAAGCACCGGCUAACUACGUG
Molecule: ribosomal RNA, 468 nt
Filed under: uncultured bacterium
Lineage: Bacteria
Description: partial 16S ribosomal RNA
Rfam family: Bacterial small subunit ribosomal RNA
Source: RNAcentral